Danio rerio (zebrafish) is the source of this 249-nucleotide non-coding RNA. NCBI's taxonomy places the organism in Eukaryota, Metazoa, Chordata, Actinopteri, Cypriniformes, Danionidae. The record is from RefSeq and is a predicted model, not a curated record.
GUGGAAAAUUCCCAGUUGCUGGGCAAGCCACUUCCCAUGAGUCGUCUUCCCAGAACCCCUCACUCCUAGCAUGGAGACCCGCAGUGCAGCGUAUUCAUCCAGACAUGGUUGUAGCAGACCUUUCUCCUUCAGAACCACUGGACAAAAAUGCUUGGUGUCUCCCAGCUGCCUCUUAAAGUUGAACUCCUAAUGGGACCAUCAUAAACAAAGACAGUCUUAGGAGAGAACCCCAGACUUCUCUAUCCCCAG